AAACCCUAACUCCCCAUUUUUCUCCUAUCAGCCGCGCACCCAUUCCACUUUCUCUCUCUACUCUCAUUGCUCUAUCAGCAACCAUAGCUGCGGCCACUCACCCCACCGGCGAACACCACGCUCCGGUGAGCCACGUCAAUGGUAAGACUACCGCCACCCUGACGAACGACGUCGCCAUGCAGCCGGCGACCACCACACCUCCAUCAGACCAGCGUCGCUCUUCUCUCUAACCAACGGCGAUGGACAGCAAUGACUGGUGAAACCCUAACUCCUGUCUUCGUUGCCUCCUUUCUCCCCGUUACAGUGAUUUCAGCGAACCAGCGCAACAUCGCACCAGCCGGCGAACUCUUCGAACCGACCAGCCGGCGAUUCCUCUGAGCCAACCGCCGUAUCCACCGCCGAUGAACCCAAUACAGAUGCCGAGCCCUCUCUCCAUCACAUGCAGCCGCCAUUGCUUUUCCCCCCAUGUUGCCUUUUUCAUCUGCUGCCUCGCCUCCGCCUUCUCCGGUCAAAUUCUCUGGAGAAUUGUUUUAAGGGCAUGGCGGAUUCAUUCGCGUCAGGUUUUCUCUCUUGUUUAAAGCAUCUGAAAUCUUCUUCUACCCUUUUUCUUCCUUGUACAGAUUCUUAGAUUCAAAACUGGUAAUUCUUGGCGCUGGUUUCCGAUGUAAUUAGUGUAAUGGUAUGUUUUUUCGUAGUCUAUUUUUUACCCUAAAUGUACCUUUUUUUUAACCCUAAAUGUACCUUUACUUACCGUUUUAGUUAGAAAUUCAAUAAUCCUAAAUUAGUUACUAUCUUUCUUUCUGAAGUCAAAUUGUUAUAGUCUUUUUCUCUACAUGGAUGUGAACUGUUUUGGCUAUGAUUUUGAAACAUCCUUUAAGUUUUAAAAACUUGACCAAAAACAUCCCUCUGUUAUGUUUUCCAUCCAUUUCUAACAGAAGUUUGGUUAUUCAUGUGACCUUCUUACUCUUCUUUCCCUGUAAGUUCCUCAUUCUCUGCAAGAAAACUUGCUUUGUAUUGUCUUUCCCCAGGAAAAUAAUUGUCCAUAGUUUUUUCUACCCAAUUAUAUCUUCCUAUCUCUUUUAGUUUGAAUACUCGAUUUUCCCACGUAUAGUUGUAAAGUGGUCUGAUAAAUUGUUUCAUCUUAAGAAGUAUGUAUGGUUUAGAAUUUUGCAUUGACGGGCUUAGAUAUAAUUUAGGACAUCUAGAAAGCUGCAGUAAUUAAGUACAAAAAUGUAACAUUCCACUAAUUGCUAAAGAUUUGUACAAAAUGCCAAAGAAUUACUUUCUCCGUUCAUCUUUAAUUGUCCAGUAUACCAGAAAUAGAUGUCCAACAAUAUUUAUCCAGUUUGAAAAAUUAAUGGAUAAUUUGCCAUUUUGAGUCAAUUUUACCUUUGCUAUUAAAUUCGUUGAAUUUUUCAAAGCAUUAACUUUAUAAUAUUUAAAUUUUGAUAUAGUAGAAUUGAACCUAUUAUUUAUUGUUUCUUAAGGUGUUUACCAAUUCAAUAUUCGAUAGGUAAAGAUUUACGAAGGGAGUAGUCAUGAGAUAAACAAUGUGCGGAAUGCAAGAAAUAUGCAGUAGUGCAAAAUGUAUAAAAUAUAAUGCGCUCCCUCUGUUUCAUUUUACUUGACCCCUAUACUAAAAUAAUUGUGUCAUUUAAAUAUACCAUGAUUUUAUUACUAUUAUUUACUCCUAUCAUACUAACCACAAAAUAUCACAAUAAAUAAAGCUACACAAAAGGCAAACUUCACUGGAGAAGACAAUUUUAAUUUCUAUGACCCUUUGGAGGCGGGAGAACGAAAACUCUCUAGAAAAAAAAAUGACAGAAGCUUGUAUCUUAUAAAAUUCCCCUUAGAAUUAGAUAUGGAAGAAGAAAGAAACGAGUCACGUGAAUAAACAAUCUUCUAUUAGGAAUGGAUGAAAAACAUAACAGAGGGAUGCUUUUGGUCAAGUUUUUAAAACUUAAAGGAUGUUUCAAUUUAAGUGACAUAUUAUAAGGAUGAAGUUAAAGUUUGGGUGAAAUAAUAAGAAUGAAUUUGGUCAAAAACUCUGGCUAUUUACUCUCUCCUUAAAAAUAAAUAAAAAAAGACUAUUAGCUGCUUCUACUACAAAGAAUAAAAAAAAAUUUCUUAAGCUUUGUGGUGUAUCUUUUCGAAUUUAGUUAGUGAUUGCUGUUUGUGCCUGUAACUUAAUUCGUGGAAUUAGUUAUACUAUACCAACUUAUGUCUCUUUUCUUAUUAAUUAACUCUCUUGUUUCAGUCCUGUACUUAUGUUCAUUUUCGUACUACAAUGUUAUUUAUGUACUUAUGGGGAACUUCAUAUGAAUGGUCUUCUUUAUUGAUGCAUGAUUAUAGUAUCUUGGCUCACCAUAUUGGUUAAUAGUAUUCAUUGUUUUUAACUCUGUUGUUUUGUAUUCAUCAUUCUUUUUUUUUUAUUUUCACAUGCCAUCUUUGAUAUAGGUUUUCCACUUUAUAAGUUGAAUGAAUUGGAAAAAGACUGAAUACCAACAGUGCCUUAUUUCGUUGUCCGCUCCCAAAGCUAAACUUUGCUAAACAGGCAACAAAGUUUGCCAUUCUGAUGAACUUGGAAUAUCGGAUGGUUGCAUCAGAAGAUAUUGGCAGACAACUUUUGACAUAUGGAGAGAGUCUACAGAUUGAUUAAUUAUUUCAGUCCAGUUAUGCAAAUCGAAAAUGCACUUGCUUCAUCCGUGGAUGGAGAAUCACCAUGCAAAUAUUUGGUAUCUUUUCAUAUUAGAUUUUUAUGGAGCUGAAGUAAACUUUAGGUUAUUCAAAUCGAGAUUGUUAAUUAUGUGUGACAUGAAUUUAGAUUUGUACUGUUUUGUAUUCGGAAUAUUUUUAGUUUAGUCUAUGUUAUAAGUGGUUGUAUAUGUUGUAAUUGUGUUUUUUGGUACGUUGAUAGUUUCUAUUUAGUAUAUGUUAUAAAUGAUAGUAAAGAAAAUUAUUUGUA
Molecule: RNA transcript, 2965 nt
Organism: Capsicum annuum
Lineage: Eukaryota; Viridiplantae; Streptophyta; Magnoliopsida; Solanales; Solanaceae
Gene name: probable mitochondrial-processing peptidase subunit alpha-1, mitochondrial
Exons: 4
Source: RefSeq, a predicted model, not a curated record